GGCUUUCUGAAUCCGUGCCAAUAUUUUGUCAGAAAUCAAUCCACCAGGGCUAAUGAGAUUUACGAGAUUAGUGAAUUG
Molecule: non-coding RNA, 78 nt
Organism: Schistosoma rodhaini
Lineage: Eukaryota; Metazoa; Platyhelminthes; Trematoda; Strigeidida; Schistosomatidae
Source: Rfam